RNAcentral lists this RNase P RNA (419 nucleotides) under Candidatus Mycoplasma haematominutum 'Birmingham 1'. Its description in RNAcentral is "Candidatus Mycoplasma haemominutum 'Birmingham 1' rnpB". The stretch from base 23 to 395 matches the Rfam family "Bacterial RNase P class B". From Rfam's summary of the family: Ribonuclease P (RNase P) is a ubiquitous endoribonuclease, found in archaea, bacteria and eukarya as well as chloroplasts and mitochondria. Its best characterised activity is the generation of mature 5'-ends of tRNAs by cleaving the 5'-leader elements of precursor-tRNAs. Cellular RNase Ps are ribonucleoproteins. The record is from RNAcentral. Lineage: Bacteria; Bacillati; Mycoplasmatota; Mollicutes; Mycoplasmatales; Mycoplasmataceae.
GGGGAAUUUCACUAGUUUUUAGACAGAUAGUGAGUAGCUUUUGAAAGAAAGAGGAAAGUCCAUGCUUGCAUAGUCUGAGAUGACUAUAGUGUUUGUGUAAGUAUAUAAAAAAUAAAACUUAACAAUUAGUGAAAACUAGUUGAUGGCAGAGAUAACUUCUAAGUAUUUUGAACAGCUCUUAUAUGAAGUUAUCUCCAUAAAGUGCCACAGAGACGAGCUUUAUAGAAAUAUAAAGUGUGAAACGCGGUAAACCCCUCAAGCAAGAAACCUAAAAAUUGGUAAGGGAAUUUAGACAAAGGAAUUCAACUGAGUCUAGAAAUAUAGAAAUUGUUUCCUAUAUUAGAUUAAUUACUCACCUCUAAGCCCAGCUUAGAUACAGAACAUGGCUUAUCGUCUGCCUUUAAUAGUAUUAUUUCUCC